GGCGACGACCGGCGCACGGGUGCGUAACGCGUAUGCAACUUUCCUUAUACAGGAGGAUAGCCCAGGGAAACUUGGAUUAAUACUCCAUAAUGUCACCAGGUCGCAUGGCCAGGUGAUUAAAACUCCGGUGGUAUAAGAUGGGCAUGCGUAGGAUUAGCUAGUAGGUAGUGUAACGGACUACCCAGGCAACGAUCCUUAGGGGUUCUGAGGGGAUUAUCCCCCACACUGGUACUGAGACACGGACCAGACUCCUACGGGAGGCAGCAGUGAGGAAUAUUGGUCAAUGGGCGCGAGCCUGAACCAGCCAUCCCGCGUGCAGGAUGACGGCCCUAUGGGUUGUAAACUGCCUUUUCUACGCCAAGAAAGGCCCGUACGAGUACGGGAUUGACGGUAGCGUAGGAAUAAGCAUCGGCUAACUCCGUGCCAGCAGCCGCGGUAAUACGGAGGAUGCAAGCGUUAUCCGGAUUCAUUGGGUCUAAAGGGUGCGCAGGCGGGCUUGUAAGUCAGUGGUGAAAUACUGCCCGCUUAACGGUAGAAUUGCCCAUUGAUACUGCGAGUCUUGAGUAUGGUUGAGGUAGGCGGAAUGUGCAGUGUAGCGGUGAAACUGCCUAGAGAUUUGCACAGAACGCCGAUUGCGGAGGCAGCUUACUAAGCCCAUAACUGACGGCUUGAAGGAACGAAAGCCGUGGGAACCGAACAAGGAUUAGACACCCGUGGUAGCCCCACGGCUGUAAACGAGUGCCACCGCGCCUGGUCGAGACACACAGAAGAGCGGCGUGAGCGAACGCAUUAAGUGCACCACUCGGGAGACACAGAGCGCAAGCUGCUGACACAUCAAAGAGGUAGUUGACGGGCCCCCACAACAAGCGGAGACACAUGUGGUUAUACGAGAUUGACACGCGAGGCACCUCACGGGCGCUUAUAUGUGGCCUCGCAUGAAGGAGAUACACUUCUUUCCCGCGGGACUGCACAAGAGGUCCGGCAGGGUUGUGCGCCAGUCUCGUCCCGUGAGUUGUCGGGUUAAGUCCCAUAACGAGCGCAACCCUUAUCGUUAGUUGCUAGCAGGUAAAGCUGAGGACU
RNAcentral lists this ribosomal RNA (1080 nucleotides) under uncultured organism. RNAcentral's name for it is "bacterial SSU rRNA". It matches the Rfam family "Bacterial small subunit ribosomal RNA", at positions 87 to 1139 of the family's 1533-position model. The record is from RNAcentral.